Long non-coding RNA from Brachypodium distachyon (stiff brome), 2610 nucleotides. RefSeq lists it as uncharacterized. NCBI's taxonomy places the organism in Eukaryota, Viridiplantae, Streptophyta, Magnoliopsida, Poales, Poaceae. The transcript has 2 exons. The record is from RefSeq and is a predicted model, not a curated record.
UUAAGUAUGCUCAUUCUAGCAAACUAAUAACUGCUGAUCAUAUUUAUUUACGGCGCUUUUCACUGUGUUACGUGUUUAUAGCUACUUUGACUAGAGAAGGAUAUGGAGUAGGAUCUUUGGCCAUACUACUUUUGAUUUAAUUUGAUACCCAUGCCACCGACCUUCAUGUUGUAGUAUUUGACUUAUUGGAUCCCAAAUUUUCACUCGAAAUGUAUGACAUUGAAAGGCUGAUCUACAUAUUGUUUCUACUUUUAGGAAGUCCUGGAGAAUUAUUGGAUGUAUGGUGUUACCUACUAGUCACCGGUUGCUUACUCAAGGUCCAGUUGCUCAAUAUAUUAUGUUUUGAUGGCAGACUCUUGGAUCAUAAUCUAGCAUAUUGCUUCGGUGCUACUUUAGGUACUCUUCAAAACACCAUGUCCAUGUCUGCCCAAGAGAAUUGUCAAUAUACUGCAAUAUCAUGUGAUUGGAGUUUCCUCAAUUCUUACAUUUGCCAUCCAUUUCUGAAAUCGGGGAGAUGUAAUGAAGAACUAGUGAGAUGACAGAAUCAACGUAUGGUUUGUUUAGGUUGCACGCGCGAGUAAUGUGAAACCUUAUCUUGCAAUUAAAUUAUGGUGUCGAUUAGACAGAAGUUUUGACUUGCUCUCUUAUUUUGAUGUGUGUUGGAUAUCAAGUAAAUGUCAAGCAAUCAUGCAACAAAUAGUACUUCCAUAUUUAUUUAGACCAACAAAUAGUACCUUGAUUUGUUUUACUGCUGCUAUGCAUACCUGUGAUUUUUUUCAUUGCAGCCACCAACAUGAUAGCCGAUGUGCAAAUUAUGUUCCUCGACCCACAUAUCAGGGAUUUUUUUACAAUAAUAACAACAACAAUAUAAAGCAGUUUUGUGUGCGCACAUUACUUUUAUUUUCUUUAGGGCAGUACCACAUGCUCCAUAUUUUCAUGUUUUAAUUUUGUGUACUCCGUAUAAUAUUAUACAUUAGUUUGUCGGUUCAUAUAAUGAUAUGGGUGGAAGUGUUUGCCUGAAAUGAAACCAGUAAUUAUAAUAACUCCAGUUUGCAUUAGAACAAUUAAGAAUUUUUUAGUUUAAUUUAGAUCAUUUUUUCAAUGUCUGAAGGCUACCCUAGAGACCUACACUCACCCUUGUGUUACCUCCUUCAUUGUCAAACUGACUUUCCUAUAUUUCUUUGUCCAUAUGAUGACAGCUUUAACUUCUCACUGGGUGAUAUGUGAAGGAAAGGUCAGGAAGAGGAUUCAGGAUUGUCCAACCCAACUGGAACUAUCAUCAGCUGUGUUCUGAAAUUACCAGCACAAAUGGGCUAGGAAAUGUCCUGCGGCAUCCCAGUAGUGGAUCUUGUGAGUGGUGGGUACUGUAUAAAUUUGUCUGGCAUGGCUGUAUUCCUCCUGAUGUCAUGCAGCCGUCACCCUUCUCCAAGCCUGCUUCUUUAUACCUCUUGACCAUUGUUAUAAUCGCCCAACAAGUUGCAGAGUGUUCAGUGGAGUUGUGGCAAAGUACAAGGCGCAUCACUUGGAGAUGAAGCCACUCAAGCUCCUUUUCACCCAUCCAUUCUGUGCUCAUUGUUUGCAAACUGCUUCGUCAAAAAAGACAUUUAUCAAUCAUCUCAGAUUACUUCCCUGGCUCAGUUAGCAAGAGACAGCAAUGAUUUGGCAGACAUCACUGUUAUGACUGUGACACUAAGCUGCUGAGUGUCGAGUACUUCGGUAAAAUAGCUCCUGCUAAGCUGCAGCCCAAUUGGCAAGAGACAAAUCUUCGUACGCAGAGAAGUCAUCUGACAGGAAGGACUUGGGUACGUGGAUCGAUGCAGUAUGGAUAAGCUGCAUGCUAAUCUCUUCAAUGAUAUGGUAACCACUACUACUCCCUAAAAUUUGGUGAGAUCCUUAUCUGGGUACAAGCAUAACAACCCUCUUGAUCAUCAGAAUCUUGCAGUAAGUAUCCUAACAGCUCAAUCUGUGCUCUCAUAGAAAAGAAAUAAAGGAGAGAUCGAGAUGAUAGUUAAUCAUUUCAUGGUGCACACACUCAUGCAAACACUACUCGCUGCACUUUCCUUCUACUUUUCUCUACCUCUAGCCCUUCUCUUUAGGAAGGAUUCUAAUGCAUGCUCUGUCUCUUUAUGGCAGGCCAUGUCCAUGUAAGAUUAGGCAAAGUCCAUGCACCACUUGAGCUGGUGCAUGCAUUUGUGGCGUGGUGCUGCUAGUGGUGGCGUGGCAGCAGCAGCACACACACGUAGAGGUGGGACUACCUAACCCCUGGACCUGGAGAGAGCGGCCCACGGAUCAUACGGAGCUUCUCUGGGGCCAUCUGCUCGGGUGACGUCCUGAUGACGCAGUUCCGCAUCUGCAUCCCUGUUUGAUAAAGCAAGGGAAACAUCAGCUCGACAGGAUCUCCAGCGGCAGUACGAGUGUCCUCACACUUUUAGCUCAGCAUGUUUUUCAUUCUUGUUCUUAUUCUUACGUUAGGACUUAAGUAAUCCUGCCUCUGCAUUCUCAUGUAACUUUUUAAGUUGAUAGACAGAUCGCACAUUGCUGGGUGCCUGAAUUAAAAUCUCUAGCCACCAACUACGCCCCUGAAUUAAUUAACAGAUGUGAUGAUACUAA